Long non-coding RNA from Aethalodelphis obliquidens (Pacific white-sided dolphin), 146 nucleotides. RefSeq lists it as uncharacterized. NCBI's taxonomy places the organism in Eukaryota, Metazoa, Chordata, Mammalia, Artiodactyla, Delphinidae. The record is from RefSeq and is a predicted model, not a curated record. The transcript is spliced from 4 exons.
ACCAAAAGAGAAAGCUGAGGGAAGGGAGGGAUAACUUAGGAGGUUGGGAUAAACACAUACACACUACUAUAUACAAAAUAGAUAACCAACAAGGACCUACUGUAUAGCACAGGGAACUAUACUCAAUAUUUUGUAAUAACCUAUAA